UUGGCUGCCAAAGGCCUGACGUCAGUCCUACCGCACCGGGCUUGGCGCAGCGGCGGGCGUGAGGGGCUGGGCAUGGCGGGCGGGGGGAGAAGGGCGCGGGAGCGGGAUCCGUGCCCGCCGAAGCCGGUGACACACCGCGGAGCGCUGACAGGCGCUGCGAGGGACAAAAUGUAGAACCCAAAAGGAAGAAAAGACACUGACUGCCAGCUUUGUGAAGGAACCUGUGUUUCUGAGCCUGUCUUGGAAAAUUUGACAUGCAGUAUGUUCCUGUUGGUAAUGUUAAAUGUGAGAGGGACUUCAACUGCCAUGUGCUAGGGUUCAAAAUCAAAUGAAUGAACAUAAUACAGAAAGAUGAAAGACUAUUCACCACUGCCAUGACAGCAAGCUGCAUGUGCACAAAUGACAAAGUUACCACAAAAUAUGGAAUGUGACUUAACACUACUCGUAUUUCAUUGUACCCUGUAUGCAAAUUGCUGAAUUAACUGUGGCAGAAAAGAGAAAGCUUGGGGGCUGGUUUUGGCCUUA
This is a long non-coding RNA of Harpia harpyja (harpy eagle), 525 nucleotides long. RefSeq lists it as uncharacterized. Lineage: Eukaryota; Metazoa; Chordata; Aves; Accipitriformes; Accipitridae. The transcript is spliced from 3 exons. The record is from RefSeq and is a predicted model, not a curated record.